RNAcentral lists this unclassified non-coding RNA (221 nucleotides) under Hevea brasiliensis (rubber tree). Lineage: Eukaryota; Viridiplantae; Streptophyta; Magnoliopsida; Malpighiales; Euphorbiaceae. The record is from RNAcentral.
GCGGAGUUCCGAGAGCAUCGUGUCGCUGAGCGCGUGUACCCGAACUUGCGCCGCGUCGUAGCUCGAGGACGCGAGCUGCGUGACCGACUGCGCCGUCGCGGACGCACUCUGGACGAUGACGCUCUGGGCUCUGAUCUGGUUGAUCUGUUCGGUCGAGUACGUGCGGAGCUGGUCGCUGAGCUCCUUCGAGAGGUAGUAAGCGCGCUGGUACUGGAACUUGG